RNAcentral lists this long non-coding RNA (491 nucleotides) under Heterocephalus glaber (naked mole-rat). Its description in RNAcentral is "lncRNA (ENSHGLG00100041559.1)". Lineage: Eukaryota; Metazoa; Chordata; Mammalia; Rodentia; Bathyergidae. The record is from RNAcentral.
GUGACUGAGAGUAAGGUGCUCUGAAGUUCAGAAACUGAGGAAGGCCUCAUGGAGAAAGUGAAAGAAGAAUAACAGUUCUGCAGGCUGUAAGGGCUAAUGGAGCAUUUUGGGCAACUCAGUUAUUCUGUAGGGAAAUUAAGCAACUGCCCAAGUCUUUCAUUUGAAUGUUCCAGUGACUUGAACAAUCUGAAGAAUUAGAGCAAAUAUUUUUCACUUGAAGUCACGUUCCAGAAAAAAAUCUUUAUUUAGCAUCUUGGAUGAAAGAUCAGCAGCCUUCCAAGUAUCUUCAGCCUGCAGUAUUUGUGGACACCGGCUGAGUUAAGUCACAUGGUCAGAAAAACUAUUCCAGAAGCAGUAAAAUGGAUCUGACAAGCAGUCUAGGAAUCCAUAUAAUGCACCCCUACGCUCCCCAAAUGACAACCAGCUACCUCAGUACACCAGGUUUGAGCCACAUCAAGGGUCACUACCUCCCCUCUAUCUCAGAUAACCCC